AACGAACGCUGGCGGCAUGCCUAACACAUGCCAGUCGAACGAGACCUUCGGGUCUAGUGGCGCACGGGUGCGUAACGCGUGGGAACCUGCCCUUAGGUUCGGAAUAACUCCCCGAAAGGGGUGCUAAUACCGGAUAAUGUCUUCGGACCAAAGAUUUAUCGCCUUUGGAUGGGCCCGCGUUGGAUUAGCUAGUUGGUAGGGUAAAAGCCUACCAAGGCGACGAUCCAUAGCUGGUCUGAGAGGAUGAUCAGCCACACUGGGACUGAGACACGGCCCAGACUCCUACGGGAGGCAGCAGUGGGGAAUAUUGGACAAUGGGCGAAAGCCUGAUCCAGCAAUGCCGCGUGAGUGAUGAAGGCCUUAGGGUUGUAAAGCUCUUUUAGCCGGGAUGAUAAUGACAGUACCGGGAGAAUAAGCUCCGGCUAACUCCGUG
RNAcentral lists this ribosomal RNA (433 nucleotides) under uncultured bacterium. Its description in RNAcentral is "partial 16S ribosomal RNA". It matches the Rfam family "Bacterial small subunit ribosomal RNA", at positions 29 to 507 of the family's 1533-position model. The record is from RNAcentral.